GGUGUUUGACGAAAAUCCUGGAGGAAAUCAUUACAUAGUGGUUCGUCGAUUUGAUCCAUGACCAGCUUAGUACUGCAGCGCCUGGGGUGAAAGCAUCGAUGACAUCGACCUAGCGACUCUGCAUCAUCCGAGAAUCUUUUGUGGAAGAUGCAUGGGUAUGUUUUGAGCUUCAUGCCUGGUAGAUCUUGAUCUGCUACUGUACAAAUUUUCUCAAGGUCACGAAUCCCCGUCAGUCAAGCCAUGGAAGAAGCUAUUGUGGUUGCUUCCUCCCUGACACCGUCUACAGGGAAACAUCAAUAUCUGCGCCGCCGCUGGUGAGAUGGAGACGAGGACGACUUGAGGUCCUAGCAGCAUUUCUGACUGCAGAACCAUUUCCCGGACGCCCUCCAUGAAGCCUUCACCUAUUGGCUUGAAGAGCAACACCCAACCUACAGCAGCAAGGUGAGUCCUCCACUCUGCAGUUUUGAUAGGGUUCAUAAUUGAGUAUGUGAGUUAUCAUCUACCUUUUACAAAAUUAGAAGCAGUGCCGAUGUUACUCGUUGAUUCAACUUGCUUAGUAGUUACUGCAUUCCACAUAUAUUUACAUUUCAGCUCACUUUGUCCAGUGGCCGAUCAACUUGCUUAGUAGUUAAUGCAUUCUACAUGUAUUUACAUUUCAGCUCACUUUGUCCAGUGGCUCAAAGUAGAUCUUUUGUCCCUCUUUCUAAUAACUUUUUAUUAGACCGAGCUACGACAUUUAAUCUGUACUCAGCUUUUGGUGAGUAGUGUUCAGUUUAACACAAUCAAUACUCUUAUCUAUAUUGUAUUUGUACCUCUGUUGAUUUUAAUGGUUUGUAUUGCACAAGAAAAUA
This is a non-coding RNA of Lolium perenne, 851 nucleotides long. The record is from RefSeq and is a predicted model, not a curated record. NCBI's taxonomy places the organism in Eukaryota, Viridiplantae, Streptophyta, Magnoliopsida, Poales, Poaceae.